AAUGUUUGCAGAUUCGGUAGGAAGCAGAGGCACGCAAUUACGAGAUUCUCCGUUGUUCGCGGAAGACUUGGCGGUUCCCUCGCAGAAGAUUGGACUAUCGUCCGUUUCGAUGCAAACACGAAAGAGGAUUGGAUCUAAACUCUCCGUCAUCCGCGCACUGACCAAAUAAAAAGAUGAUCCAGAGAUGGCAGCAGCGAUACAAUUUCAAACCACAGUACUCGUUGGUAAAAUAGGAACUUGGAAUCGCCAUACCUGGCCCGCCAUUUUCUCAUCGUGUUUUCGGUUCCGGAGCUGCAGUUUGAUUCUUCGAUAUACUGAAAAUGGAUAUUUUAUGUCGAACGCCACGUUGUCACCGCCUCGAUACUUCCGUGACUCUCCAGCCAUAGCUGAGUCAAGUUUCUUAAUUAAGAAACCGUCCAUCUCUCUCCGCUGCCUCUUCGUCUUGCUGUAUCGGUCUCGCAGAUUUACCACGACGACACGAAG
Long non-coding RNA from Harpegnathos saltator (Jerdon's jumping ant), 483 nucleotides. RefSeq lists it as uncharacterized. The transcript has 3 exons. NCBI's taxonomy places the organism in Eukaryota, Metazoa, Arthropoda, Insecta, Hymenoptera, Formicidae. The record is from RefSeq and is a predicted model, not a curated record.